UACGUAGGGUGCGAGCGUUAAUCGGAAUUACUGGGCGUAAAGCGUGCGCAGGCGGUUCUGAAAGUCAGCUGUGAAAGCCCCGGGCUUAACCUGGGAAUGGCGGUUGAAACUACAGGACUAGAAUCUGGCAGAGGGGGGUGGAAUUCCACGUGUAGCAGUGAAAUGCGUAGAUAUCUGGAGGAACACCGGUGGCGAAGGCGGCAUCCUGGACCAAUUCUGACGCUGAGGAGCGAAAGCCAGGGGAGCAAACGGG
RNAcentral lists this ribosomal RNA (253 nucleotides) under uncultured bacterium. RNAcentral describes it as "partial 16S ribosomal RNA". It matches the Rfam family "Bacterial small subunit ribosomal RNA", at positions 524 to 776 of the family's 1533-position model. The record is from RNAcentral.